Molecule: ribosomal RNA, 460 nt
Filed under: uncultured bacterium
Lineage: Bacteria
Description: partial 16S ribosomal RNA
Rfam family: Bacterial small subunit ribosomal RNA
Source: RNAcentral
CCUACGGGAGGCAGCAGUGAGGAAUAUUGGUCAAUGGACGAGAGUCUGAACCAGCCAAGUAGCGUGAAGGAUGACUGCCCUAUGGGUUGUAAACUUCUUUUAUAUGGGAAUAAAAUGUUCCACGUGUGGGCUUUUGUAUGUACCAUAUGAAUAAGGAUCGGCUAACUCCGUGCCAGCAGCCGCGGUAAUACGGAGGAUCCGAGCGUUAUCCGGAUUUAUUGGGUUUAAAGGGAGCGUAGGUGGUUUGUUAAGUCAGUUGUGAAAGUUUGCGGCUCAACCGUAAAAUUGCAGUUGAAACUGGCAGUCUUGAGUACAGUAGAGGUGGGCGGAAUUCGAGGUGUAGCGGUGAAAUGCUUAGAUAUCACGAAGAACUCCGAUUGCGAAGGCAGCUCACUGGACUGCAACUGACACUGAGGCUCGAAAGUGUGGGUAUCAAACAGGAUUAGAUACCCUUGUAGUC